Molecule: ribosomal RNA, 706 nt
Filed under: Veronica caucasica
Lineage: Eukaryota; Viridiplantae; Streptophyta; Magnoliopsida; Lamiales; Plantaginaceae
Description: eukaryotic LSU rRNA
Rfam family: 5.8S ribosomal RNA (bases 305-460)
Source: RNAcentral
GAUCGCGGCGACGUGGGCGGUUCGCUGCCCGCGACGUCGCGAGAAGUCCACUGAACCUUAUCAUUUAGAGGAAGGAGAAGUCGUAACAAGGUUUCCGUAGGUGAACCUGCGGAAGGAUCAUUGUCGAUGCCUGUAAAUCAGACCGCGAACACGUGUUAAUAAGCUCCGCCCGCCUAGCGCUCGCGCUUUGCGGGCUCACGAACCCCGGCGCGGCAAGCGCCAAGGAAAACCUAAAGGAAUCGUCUCCCCCGAGUGCCCGUUCGCGGUGCGUCUUGGGUGCGCGACGUCCCUCAAAUGUCUAAACGACUCUCGGCAACGGAUAUCUCGGCUCUCGCAUCGAUGAAGAACGUAGCGAAAUGCGAUACUUGGUGUGAAUUGCAGAAUCCCGUGAACCAUCGAGUCUUUGAACGCAAGUUGCGCCCGAAGCCUUCAGGCCGAGGGCACGCCUGCCUGGGCGUCACGCAUCGCGUCGCCCCCCUCCAAAAUCCCCCGGGACUUGUGAGUGGGAGCGGAAARUGGUCUCCCGUGUGCCUUCGUGCGCGCGGCUGGCCUAAAUGAGAUCCUGCAUCGACGGAUGUCACGACCGUGGUGGUUGAAAACUCAAUCUUGCUGUCGUGCGCGCCUCGUCGUUUGCAAGGCAUCGAUUCGACCCAACGGCGCGCYUCGCGUGCCUCCGACCGCGACCCCAGGUCAGGCGGGACUACCC